AUUGAACGCUGGCGGCAGGCCUAACACAUGCAAGUCGAGCGGAUGAAGGGAGCUUGCUCCUGGAUUCAGCGGCGGACGGGUGAGUAAUGCCUAGGAAUCUGCCUGGUAGUGGGGGAUAACGUCCGGAAACGGGCGCUAAUACCGCAUACGUCCUGAGGGAGAAAGUGGGGGAUCUUCGGACCUCACGCUAUCAGAUGAGCCUAGGUCGGAUUAGCUAGUUGGUGGGGUAAAGGCCUACCAAGGCGACGAUCCGUAACUGGUCUGAGAGGAUGAUCAGUCACACUGGACGGGAUACAGGGACCAACCUCCUACGGGGGGCGCGGGGGGGGAAUUUUGAAAAGAGGGCGAAAGCCUGAACCAGCCAUGCCGUGUGUGAAAAGAAGGUCUUCGGAUUCUAAACCUUUUUAAUGUGGGGGGAGGGACAAUAAGUAAAUACCUUCUUUUUUUAACGUACCAAAAAAAAAGGACCCGGAAUAGGUUGGUC
Molecule: ribosomal RNA, 484 nt
Filed under: uncultured bacterium
Lineage: Bacteria
Description: partial 16S ribosomal RNA
Rfam family: Bacterial small subunit ribosomal RNA
Source: RNAcentral